Molecule: ribosomal RNA, 1101 nt
Filed under: Triticum aestivum (bread wheat)
Lineage: Eukaryota; Viridiplantae; Streptophyta; Magnoliopsida; Poales; Poaceae
Description: partial small subunit ribosomal RNA
Source: RNAcentral
AUGGCCGCCGCCGCCCUCCUCCGCCGCUCGCCGGCGGCGCGCGCCCUCCUUUCGCCGGCCCUCUCCUCCCGCCUCGUCGCCUCCAAGCCCCACUCCUCAUCCCCCGCGCCGCCGCCGCCCUCGUCGAAGCCCGCCAGCACCAAGACCUUCUCGAUCUACCGCUGGGACCCCGACUCCCCGUCGACCAAGCCCCACCUCAAGGACUACAAGGUGGACCUCUCCGACUGCGGCCCCAUGGUGCUCGACGCGCUCCUCAAGAUCAAGAACGAGCAGGACCCAUCCCUCACCUUCCGCCGGAGCUGCCGUGAGGGCAUCUGCGGCAGCUGCGCCAUGAACAUCGACGGCGACAACGGGCUGGCCUGCCUCACCAAGAUCUCCUCGGAGGCGGCCGGGGCCUCCACGAUCUCGCCGCUCCCCCACAUGUUCGUCGUCAAGGACCUCGUCGUCGACAUGACCAACUUCUACAACCAGUACAAGAGCGUGGAGCCGUGGCUCAAGCGCAAGGACCCGCCGUCGGCCGGUGGGAAGGAGAUCUACCAGUCCAAGGCCGACCGCGCCAAGCUUGAUGGCAUGUACGAGUGCAUCCUCUGCGCCUGCUGCUCCACAUCCUGCCCGUCCUACUGGUGGAACCCAGAGGAGUAUCUCGGCCCUGCCGCACUGCUCCAUGCCAACAGGCUUCCGCUGUGGGGGACGCUAAUGAAACCGAAACCCAGCAUGCUUCCGCUGUGGGGGGCGGUAAUGAAACCAAAACCCAGCAUGUUCAUGCACGUCCAAGCUCGAGGAUACCAUGGGGUCUCAGUCUCAGAGAAGAGAAACUUGCGGGAUCACAAACGUAGAAUUCUUGCAGCAAAAUAUGAGCUGAGAGGAAAGCUUUAUAAGGCUGUCUGUAGGGACCCUGAACUUCCAUCAGAUAUGCGGGAUAAGUUUCGCUAUAAGUUGUCCAAGCUGCCAAGAAAUAGUAACAUGACACGUCUUAGAAACCGCUGUAUUUUCACGGGCCGCUCUCGUGGUGUCUACCAGAAAUUCCGCAUGUCUCGUAUCGUGUUCCGCACCUUGGCAAACAAGGGUGAACUGAUGGGUGUUAAGAAAGCGUCUUGGUAG